UUUAUCGGAGAGUUUGAUCCUGGCUCAGGACGAACGCUGGCGGCGUGCCUAAUACAUGCAAGUCGAGCGGACAGAUGGGAGCUUGCUCCCUGAUGUUAGCGGCGGACGGGUGAGUAACACGUGGGUAACCUGCCUGUAAGACUGGGAUAACUCCGGGAAACCGGGGCUAAUACCGGAUGGUUGUUUGAACCGCAUGGUUCAAACAUAAAAGGUGGCUUCGGCUACCACUUACAGAUGGACCCGCGGCGCAUUAGCUAGUUGGUGAGGUAAUGGCUCACCAAGGCAACGAUGCGUAGCCGACCUGAGAGGGUGAUCGGCCACACUGGGACUGAGACACGGCCCAGACUCCUACGGGAGGCAGCAGUAGGGAAUCUUCCGCAAUGGACGAAAGUCUGACGGAGCAACGCCGCGUGAGUGAUGAAGGUUUUCGGAUCGUAAAGCUCUGUUGUCAGGGAAGAACAAGUACCGUUCGAAUAGGGCGGUACCUUGACGGUACCUAACCAGAAAGCCACGGCUAACUACGUGCCAGCAGCCGCGGUAAUACGUAGGUGGCAAGCGUUGUCCGG
This 566-nucleotide ribosomal RNA is filed under the name Bacillus sp. CMAA 1185. RNAcentral's name for it is "bacterial SSU rRNA". It matches the Rfam family "Bacterial small subunit ribosomal RNA", at positions 1 to 548 of the family's 1533-position model. The record is from RNAcentral. Lineage: Bacteria; Bacillati; Bacillota; Bacilli; Caryophanales; Bacillaceae.